This 1033-nucleotide ribosomal RNA is filed under the name uncultured prokaryote. RNAcentral describes it as "bacterial SSU rRNA". The stretch from base 1 to 925 matches the Rfam family "Bacterial small subunit ribosomal RNA", at positions 502 to 1533 of the family's 1533-position model. The record is from RNAcentral.
AUUGUGUCAGCAGCCGCGCGGUAAUACGUAGGUCUCAAGCGUUAUCCGGAUUUACUGGGCGUAAAGAGUCUGUAGCUGGUUAUACAAGUCUAUUUUUAAAGACCUUGGCUCAACCAAGGGAAGGGAAUGGAUACUGUAUAUCUGGAGGUUUUUAGGGGUUAGUAGAAUUCCCGGUGGAGGGGUGAAAUCCGUUGAUAUUGGGAGGAAUGCCGAAAGCGAAAGCAGCUAACUAUAAUUAUCCUGACAGUGAGAGACGAAAGCAUGGGUAGCAAACGGGAUUAGAUACCCCGGUAGUCCAUGUCGUAAACUAUGCUUGCUAAGUGUCUUAAGAGACUUGAUCUCUGGGGUACUGUAACCUAACGGGUUAAGCAAGCCGCCUGGGUAGUACAGUCGCAAGACUGAAACUCAAAGGAAUAGGCGGGGGAACACACAAGCAGUGGAUGAUCUAGAUUAAUUGGACAAUAAGCCAAAAACCUUACCUAGGUUUGACAUGUACUUUGUCAUCGGGGAAACUCGGUUAGCUAUAGCAAUAUAGCGGGGUACACAGGUGGUGCAUGGUCGUCGUCAGCUCGUGCCGCAAGGUAUCUAGUUAAGUCUAGAAACGAGCGCAACCCUCAUCUCUAGUUACAGUGUCUAGAGAAACUGCCUUCGCAAGAAGGAGGAAGGAGAGGAUGACGUCAGAUCCUCAUGCCCCUUAUGCCUAGGGCAUCAUAGAUCAUACAAUGGGAUGUAACAAUGAGAAGCGAAGCCGUGAGGUAGAGCAAAACUCCAAACCAUCCCCAAGUUCGGAUUGUAGGCUGCAACUCGCCUACAUGAAGUCGGAAUUGCUAGUAAUGGUGAAUCAGCAUUGUCACCGUGAAUAUGUCCCUGUUCCUUGCACACACCGCCCAAUCUGCGAUGCGCCUGAAUGCGUAUUUUCUCUACGCAUCUUGUGCCGUAUUCCACACCCGCAAUUGAUGCACUCUCCGAUCAAUCUGCCUGAACUGCCGCAAGGUUAAGUCAGGCCGAAACACCUCUGGCUCGAAACACCCGU